Entelurus aequoreus (snake pipefish) is the source of this 469-nucleotide long non-coding RNA. RefSeq lists it as uncharacterized. The record is from RefSeq and is a predicted model, not a curated record. The transcript is spliced from 3 exons. Lineage: Eukaryota; Metazoa; Chordata; Actinopteri; Syngnathiformes; Syngnathidae.
GUGGCCCCGCCCGCAGCAGAUGGCGUCGCAGUUUUUGUCCUUGUAGCACUUGCGAGCCGCUGUGCCCGACGAGUACUUGCUGGGCCGGCAGAAACUGGCUGUUGGCCACACUGAGGAGGCACAUGUUAUCCAGAAGGAGACCGAGGGCAAAGUGCAACCAUUUGGAGACUGUGGAGUAUACAUGCUGUAGCAACAAGGUCGGGUCACGGGGGCAGCAGCCUAAGCAGAGAAGCCCAGACUUCCCUCUCCACAGCCACUUCAUCCAGCUCUUCCCAGGGGAUCCUGAGGAGUUACCAGGCCAGCCAGGAGACAUAGUCUCCCCAUUGUGUCCUGGGUCUUCCCUGUGAACUCCUACCGGUCGGACGUGCCUCAAACACCUUCCCAGAGAGCCAGGGACAUUCGGAUCAGAUGCCUGAACCACCUCACCUGGCUCCUCUCGAUGUGGAGGAGCAGCGGCUUUACUCUGAGC